GGCUCAGAACGAACGCUGGCGGCGUGCUUAACACAUGCAAGUCGAACGAUGAAGCCGCUUCGGUGGUGGAUUAGUGGCGAACGGGUGAGUAACACGUGGGCAAUCUGCCCUGCACUCUGGGACAAGCCCUGGAAACGGGGUCUAAUACCGGAUAUUACCUGGUGAGGCAUCUCAUCGGGUGGAAAGCUCCGGCGGUGCAGGAUGAGCCCGCGGCCUAUCAGCUUGUUGGUGGGGUGAUGGCCUACCAAGGCGACGACGGGUAGCCGGCCUGAGAGGGCGACCGGCCACACUGGGACUGAGACACGGCCCAGACUCCUACGGGAGGCAGCAGUGGG
Molecule: ribosomal RNA, 335 nt
Filed under: uncultured Actinomycetales bacterium
Lineage: Bacteria; Bacillati; Actinomycetota; Actinomycetes; Actinomycetales
Description: bacterial SSU rRNA
Rfam family: Bacterial small subunit ribosomal RNA
Source: RNAcentral